RNAcentral lists this ribosomal RNA (2904 nucleotides) under Escherichia coli. Its description in RNAcentral is "23S ribosomal RNA". It matches the Rfam family "Bacterial large subunit ribosomal RNA". The record is from RNAcentral. Lineage: Bacteria; Pseudomonadati; Pseudomonadota; Gammaproteobacteria; Enterobacterales; Enterobacteriaceae.
GGUUAAGCGACUAAGCGUACACGGUGGAUGCCCUGGCAGUCAGAGGCGAUGAAGGACGUGCUAAUCUGCGAUAAGCGUCGGUGAGGUGAUAUGAACCGUUAUAACCGGCGAUUUCCGAAUGGGGAAACCCAGUGUGUUUCGACACACUAUCAUUAACUGAAUCCAUAGGUUAAUGAGGCGAACCGGGGGAACUGAAACAUCUAAGUACCCCGAGGAAAAGAAAUCAACCGAGAUUCCCCCAGUAGCGGCGAGCGAACGGGGAGGAGCCCAGAGCCUGAAUCAGUGUGUGUGUUAGUGGAAGCGUCUGGAAAGGCGUGCGAUACAGGGUGACAGCCCCGUACACAAAAAUGCACAUAUUGUGAGCUCGAUGAGUAGGGCGGGACACGUGGUAUCCUGUCUGAAUAUGGGGGGACCAUCCUCCAAGGCUAAAUACUCCUGACUGACCGAUAGUGAACCAGUACCGUGAGGGAAAGGCGAAAAGAACCCCGGCGAGGGGAGUGAAAAAGAACCUGAAACCGUGUACGUACAAGCAGUGGGAGCCUCUUAAUGGGGUGACUGCGUACCUUUUGUAUAAUGGGUCAGCGACUUAUAUUCUGUAGCAAGGUUAACCGAAUAGGGGAGCCGAAGGGAAACCGAGUCUUAACUGGGCGUUAAGUUGCAGGGUAUAGACCCGAAACCCGGUGAUCUAGCCAUGGGCAGGUUGAAGGUUGGGUAACACUAACUGGAGGACCGAACCGACUAAUGUUGAAAAAUUAGCGGAUGACUUGUGGCUGGGGGUGAAAGGCCAAUCAAACCGGGAGAUAGCUGGUUCUCCCCGAAAGCUAUUUAGGUAGCGCCUCGUGAAUUCAUCUCCGGGGGUAGAGCACUGUUUCGGCAAGGGGGUCAUCCCGACUUACCAACCCGAUGCAAACUGCGAAUACCGGAGAAUGUUAUCACGGGAGACACACGGCGGGUGCUAACGUCCGUCGUGAAGAGGGAAACAACCCAGACCGCCAGCUAAGGUCCCAAAGUCAUGGUUAAGUGGGAAACGAUGUGGGAAGGCCCAGACAGCCAGGAUGUUGGCUUAGAAGCAGCCAUCAUUUAAAGAAAGCGUAAUAGCUCACUGGUCGAGUCGGCCUGCGCGGAAGAUGUAACGGGGCUAAACCAUGCACCGAAGCUGCGGCAGCGACACUAUGUGUUGUUGGGUAGGGGAGCGUUCUGUAAGCCUGUGAAGGUGGCCUGUGAGGGUUGCUGGAGGUAUCAGAAGUGCGAAUGCUGACAUAAGUAACGAUAAAGCGGGUGAAAAGCCCGCUCGCCGGAAGACCAAGGGUUCCUGUCCAACGUUAAUCGGGGCAGGGUGAGUCGACCCCUAAGGCGAGGCCGAAAGGCGUAGUCGAUGGGAAACAGGUUAAUAUUCCUGUACUUGGUGUUACUGCGAAGGGGGGACGGAGAAGGCUAUGUUGGCCGGGCGACGGUUGUCCCGGUUUAAGCGUGUAGGCUGGUUUUCCAGGCAAAUCCGGAAAACCAAGGCUGAGGCGUGAUGACGAGGCACUACGGUGCUGAAGCGACAAAUGCCCUGCUUCCAGGAAAAGCCUCUAAGCAUCAGGUAACAUCAAAUCGUACCCCAAACCGACACAGGUGGUCAGGUAGAGAAUACCAAGGCGCUUGAGAGAACUCGGGUGAAGGAACUAGGCAAAAUGGUGCCGUAACUUCGGGAGAAGGCACGCUGAUAUGUAGGUGAAGCGACUUGCUCGUGGAGCUGAAAUCAGUCGAAGAUACCAGCUGGCUGCAACUGUUUAUUAAAAACACAGCACUGUGCAAACACGAAAGUGGACGUAUACGGUGUGACGCCUGCCCGGUGCCGGAAGGUUAAUUGAUGGGGUUAGCGGCAACGCGAAGCUCUUGAUCGAAGCCCCGGUAAACGGCGGCCGUAACUAUAACGGUCCUAAGGUAGCGAAAUUCCUUGUCGGGUAAGUUCCGACCUGCACGAAUGGCGUAAUGAUGGCCAGGCUGUCUCCACCCGAGACUCAGUGAAAUUGAACUCGCUGUGAAGAUGCAGUGUACCCGCGGCAAGACGGAAAGACCCCGUGAACCUUUACUAUAGCUUGACACUGAACAUUGAGCCUUGAUGUGUAGGAUAGGUGGGAGGCUUUGAAGUGUGGACGCCAGUCUGCAUGGAGCCGGCCUUGAAAUACCACCCUUUAAUGUUUGAUGUUCUAACGUUGGCCCGUAAUCCGGGUUGCGGACAGUGUCUGGUGGGUAGUUUGACUGGGGCGGUCUCCUCCUAAAGAGUAACGGAGGAGCACGAAGGUUGGCUAAUCCUGGUCGGACAUCAGGAGGUUAGUGCAAUGGCAUAAGCCAGCUUGACUGCGAGCGUGACGGCGCGAGCAGGUGCGAAAGCAGGUCAUAGUGAUCCGGUGGUUCUGAAUGGAAGGGCCAUCGCUCAACGGAUAAAAGGUACUCCGGGGAUAACAGGCUGAUACCGCCCAAGAGUUCAUAUCGACGGCGGUGUUUGGCACCUCGAUGUCGGCUCAUCACAUCCUGGGGCUGAAGUAGGUCCCAAGGGUAUGGCUGUUCGCCAUUUAAAGUGGUACGCGAGCUGGGUUUAGAACGUCGUGAGACAGUUCGGUCCCUAUCUGCCGUGGGCGCUGGAGAACUGAGGGGGGCUGCUCCUAGUACGAGAGGACCGGAGUGGACGCAUCACUGGUGUUCGGGUUGUCAUGCCAAUGGCACUGCCCGGUAGCUAAAUGCGGAAGAGAUAAGUGCUGAAAGCAUCUAAGCACGAAACUUGCCCCGAGAUGAGUUCUCCCUGACUCCUUGAGGGUCCUGAAGGAACGUUGAAGACGACGACGUUGAUAGGCCGGGUGUGUAAGCGCAGCGAUGCGUUGAGCUAACCGGUACUAAUGAACCGUGAGGCUUAACCUU